UAAAUAGAGGGGGGAGGAGGCUCUCUUGCCCUUUCCGCUGCAAGGGAGCCAUCUGGGUGAUAAACCCUGGCCUUGACCUCAUGGAAUAAGAACUACUGAAACAUAACUGCUUGACUAAAACAAUGCCAAGAUGCCUGGGGUGGGAAUGCAUUGUAUAAAUAAAAAGCUGAAGAAAAUUA
This is a long non-coding RNA of Hemicordylus capensis (graceful crag lizard), 179 nucleotides long. RefSeq lists it as uncharacterized. NCBI's taxonomy places the organism in Eukaryota, Metazoa, Chordata, Lepidosauria, Squamata, Cordylidae. The transcript is spliced from 2 exons. The record is from RefSeq and is a predicted model, not a curated record.